GACGAACGCUGGCGGCGUGCCUAACACAUGCAAGUCGAACGCAGUGGCGAACGGGUGCGGAAUACGUUGGUACCCUGCACUCCUGUAUGGGUUAAGCCUUGGCAACGGGGUCUAAUACCGAAUACAGGGGCAUGGGCCCGCGGUCUAUCAGCUUGUUGGUGGGGUGCUGGCCUACCAAGGCGGUGACGGGUAGCCGGCCGGAGAGGGUGCACGGCAACGUUGGUACUGAGAUACGGCCCAGGCUCCUACGGGGGGGAGCAGUUGGGGAUAUGGCACAAAGGGCGAAAGCCUGAUGCGGCGACGCCGCGUGGGGGAUGAAGGCUUUAGGGUUGUAAGCCUCUUUCGCUAUCGAGCGGGUAGGUGGAGAGGAAGCGCCGGCUAACUACGUGCCAGCAGCCGCGGUAAUUC
RNAcentral lists this ribosomal RNA (408 nucleotides) under uncultured bacterium. Its description in RNAcentral is "partial 16S ribosomal RNA". It matches the Rfam family "Bacterial small subunit ribosomal RNA", at positions 28 to 526 of the family's 1533-position model. The record is from RNAcentral.